RNAcentral lists this ribosomal RNA (511 nucleotides) under uncultured bacterium. RNAcentral's name for it is "partial 16S ribosomal RNA". It matches the Rfam family "Bacterial small subunit ribosomal RNA", at positions 28 to 523 of the family's 1533-position model. The record is from RNAcentral.
GACGAACGCUGGCGGCGUGCCUAAUACAUGCAAGUAGAACGCUGAAGGAGGAGCUUACUUCUCUGGAUGAGUUGCGAACGGGUGAGUAACGCGUAGGUAACCUGCCUGGUAGCGGGGGAUAACUAUUGGAAACGAUAGCUAAUACCGCAUAAGAGUAGAUGUUGCAUGACAUUUGCUGAAAAGUUGCAAUUGCACCACCACCAGAUGGCCCUGCGUUGUAUUAGCUAGUUGGGGGGGUAACGGCCUACCAAGGCGACGAUACAUAGCCGACCUGAGAGGGUGAUCGGCCACACUGGGACUGAGACACGGCCCAGACGCCUACGGGAGGCAGCAGUAGGGAAUCGUCGGCAAUGGACGGAAGUCUGACCGAGCAACGCCGCGUGAGUGAAGAAGGUUUUCGGAUCGUAAAGCUCUGUUGUAAGAGAAGAACGAGUGUGAGAGUGGAAAGUUCACACUGUGACGGCAUCUUACCAGAAAGGGACGGCUAACUACGUGCCAGCCGCCGCAGUAA